CCUGCUUGCAGGGGUACUCGAGUGGCGAACGGGUGAGUAACACGUGGGUGAUCUGCCUUGUACUUCGGGAUAAGCCUGGGAAACUGGGUCUAAUACCGGAUAGGACCAUGCUUUAGUGUGUGUGGUGGAAAGUUUUUUCGGUACAAGAUGAGCCCGCGGCCUAUCAGCUUGUUGGUGGGGUAAUGGCCUACCAAGGCGACGACGGGUAGCCGGCCUGAGAGGGUGUACGGCCACAUUGGGACUGAGACACGGCCCAGACUCCUACGGGAGGCAGCAGUGGGGAAUAUUGCACAAUGGGCGCAAGCCUGAUGCAGCGACGCCGCGUGAGGGAUGACGGCCUUCGGGUUGUAAACCUCUUUCGCUAGGGAAGAAGCCACUUGUGGUGACGGUACCUGGAUAAGAAGCACCGGCUAACUACGUGCCAGCAGCCGCGGUAAUACGUAGGGUGCAAGCGUUGUCCGGAAUUACUGGGCGUAAAGAGCUCGUAGGUGGUUUGUCGCGUCGUCUGUGAAAUCCCGGGGCUUAACUCCGGGCGUGCAGGCGAUACGGGCAUAACUGGAGUGCUGUAGGGGAGACUGGAAUUCCUGGUGUAGCGGUGAAAUGCGCAGAUAUCAGGAGGAACACCGAUGGCGAAGGCAGGUCUCUGGGCAGUAACUGACGCUGAGGAGCGAAAGCAUGGGUAGCGAACAGGAUUAGAUACCCUGGUAGUCCAUGCCGUAAACGGUGGGCGCUAGGUGUGGGGAUCUUUCUACGAUUUCCGUGCCGUAGCUAACGCAUUAAGCGCCCCGC
Molecule: ribosomal RNA, 789 nt
Filed under: Corynebacterium sp. Bacteria_81
Lineage: Bacteria; Bacillati; Actinomycetota; Actinomycetes; Mycobacteriales; Corynebacteriaceae
Description: bacterial SSU rRNA
Rfam family: Bacterial small subunit ribosomal RNA
Source: RNAcentral